AGGACGGACGCUGGCGGCGUGCUUAACACAUGCAAGUCGAACGGUGAAGCCUUUCGGGGUGGAGUCAGUGGCGAACGGGUGAGUAACACGUGGGCAAUCUGCCCUGCACUCUGGGACAAGCCCUGGAAACGGGGUCUAAUACCGGAUAUGACGUACUCGGGCAUCCGAUGUGCGUGGAAAGCUCCGGCGGUGCAGGGAUGAGCUCGCGGCCUAUCAGCUUGUUGGUGGGGUGAUGGCCUACCAAGGCGACGACGGGUA
Molecule: ribosomal RNA, 258 nt
Filed under: uncultured bacterium
Lineage: Bacteria
Description: partial small subunit ribosomal RNA
Rfam family: Bacterial small subunit ribosomal RNA
Source: RNAcentral